UCAUAGAGUUGGAAGAAACCCCAUCAAGUCCAACCCCUUGCAAUUCGGGAACACACAAUCAAAAGAAGAGCCAGCAUGCUUUGUUCUGAGGUGGAGGAAUAUACAACCCUACUAUCACCUUUCUGUGGGACAGAGUAUGGUAAAUUCUAGAAUCCAAGGCUUAUCUAAACAUGGGGUUGAAUCCUACCAGCCCUUCCAGGCCAACUCUGAGAGUUCUUGCCCCUCUUGCAACCGUCUUGCCUGGCUUCUGUAUGUGCAUGUCUCUAGUUGGCCUUUCUGGUGGUGAAAUAGGCUCCUCUUCCUGAUAGGUUCCAACCCGUGAUGUUUUCUGUGUGUGUUUGGAAGUUCCUUCUUGGAGCUCUGUUUCCUGCAUGUGGACCUGAUUCAUAUCUGGCCUGCUCUGUGUGAGGAGGGACUUUAGCCUCCCCCCUAUUCCUUUUUCCUGACCCUAAAUGGCUACAGGGGGUACUGUUUGCUAUGUUGGGGGCUUCAGGUGUACUGAUGGAGUCCACCAAGAUUUGCCCAGUGAGUUGGGAAAACAGCACGAGAGAGUGGGUUGAAAUCCUUUCUCCAUGGCACUAUGGUCCCAGUUCAUGUCAGACCCCCUCAUGGUAGAUGAAUACACAUAAAAGCUGCCUUGUACUGAAUCAGUACAUUGGCCCACAGAGGCGGAGUGAGGGGAAACUGUGCCUGGGGGAGCGCGUGCGCACCGCGCCCCUGCCACAGCACUGCCGCCCCAAAAGGGCCCCGUCAUGCCUCCUCCACGGCCUGGCCACAUCUCCGCCCGGGGCAUUCCCCCCUGGUCCCGUGGGCGCUACACCACUGUUGGCCCAUCAAUGUCAAUAAUGUCUUUGUCUGCUCAGGCCCCUUCCGCACAAGCAAAAUAAUGCACUUUCAAUCCACUUUCACAACUGUUUGCAAGUGAAUUUUGCUAUUCUGCCCAGCUGCAAAGUGCAUUGAAAGUGGAUUGAAAGUGCAUUGGCCCAACAAUAUCAGUAAUGUCUUUGUGUGCUCAGACUGGCUGUCUGCGGUUUUAAGUGGGGGUCUUUCAUGUCACCUCCUACUUGACCAUUUGGCCUGAACAUGCGGGGGAUUGAACCUGAGACCUUUUGCAUGGCAAGUAGAUGAUCUACCGCUGAGCCACAGCCCCUUUUGGAAGACCUGGACCCAACCAGAUGGCUGCUUAUCAUGCAGUUGGGACUUUAAUAAACUGGUCUGAUUGAGUUCUCUUGUACUGGAGAUGAUAAUUCCAUGCAGUGCAUGAUUCCUUAUUCCCCCUUAUCACUAGCAGGAGCAGCAUAAAUUAUGCAAAAUCAGUAAAUAUAAGCCCAUAAUUGAUAUAGGUUUGCAGAACUCAGUUUGGCGUCUGCACAAGUGAAAGACUGCUGGAUAGAUCUUUUGUAAGUGCAAUGGCAAAGUUGCCUGAGAAGGGGUGAUGAUAUCAGCUAAUAGCUGAUUUUCCUUGUUUUGAUGCCAUGCAUUAGUUGCAUGUAAGGCCCAGGUGAUCUCUUAAACUCCUAGACUGUGAAAAUCCUACUUGACAGGGCAGUCAGUUUUAGAUAGCUUUUUUUGGGUCCCUGUCAGCUCUUCAGUUUAUGGUGCAACUGGUCUGACUUCAAUGCUGGUUUUCCUUGGUUUUUCACAAUACUUUAGUUUCAGGUUGGGUAGCCAUGUUGGUCUUCAGCACAUAAGCAAGAUUCGGGUCCAAAAGAGCCUUCGAGACAAAUAAGAUUUUUAGGAGAUGAGUUUUAAGGAGAUUGGGGCCAUUAUGCAUGCAGUGUUUACCCCGAGACUGUCUGCUCUGCCGUGGGGUCUCCCUGCGAUUCCCUGUUUACAUGUAAGUCGACCCCAUUGUUUGGUCCAAUCCUAGCCAUCGUUUUGGGUUGCGGAUUUCAUUGCUCCACCCCCCCCCCCCCGGGUCUUUAAAAAAUAUUUUUGCCUAUUUUAAUAUUCUGCCGCCACUGGGUUAGAAAAUUAGAGUUAAAAAAAAUAAAAAUGAAUCUCAUCAUUCCUCUGGAAAUGCCUACCUGGGAAGUGAGUGGAAGUGCUCGUGCAAGGGAAGGUGGGGAAGAGCAGCAAGCCCAAAGCUGGAGAAACAGACACUGGAUUCCUUCCUGCACAGGCAGGGAAAUAUUCGCAGUUCCUACACUCUAGGAAACCCAGGGAUAAUCGGAUAUGUGAUGUGAGUGUGCGAGGAAGGAAAAGGCAACAAUAAGGGAAGUUCUACCCUGAAGAGAAUGUACCUGACUGCAGGGCAGACCAUGAGUGCAAAAUAGGGCAGAGCUUUAUCUAACCAAAGGAGCUUUCAGUAUUAAAAGCUUAUAAUCCGAACAUCUUGUGGGUCUCUAAGGUGCUACUGGACCUGAAUUUUGCUCAAAUACUUUAGGAAUCUGUUAAGAGAAGGUUGCUAUCUUGUACGGUCCACCGGCUUUCUAGCCUGACACCCUUGUUUACGUUUUCCCAACAGAACGGUUUAUAUUUUGCUUUGAAUUCUGAAUUGCACCAGAUUCCUGUUUUCAUGGCAGUUUCUCUCUUGAUUGAAACUGGAGGUGAACCUGAGCUUCUCGUGACCAGUAGUUGUUUGCCUUCUUGGAUGCGUAAGUGAGACUGAUUUGUGGAAGUUAAGUGGUUAACGGGAUAGAAGGAAAUACCGGUGCUAGAGAAGCACAGAGUCUUUUAAAGAGGUGUUUUAAAGGAGGUGGUAGCCAUACGAUCAUGCUGGUGGAGAUCAGUGAUGUGAGUGUUUUGAAGCACUUCGAAUAUCAUGAAUGUUUGGCAAAUUAAUAAUUCUUCUGUGGUACCCUGACAACACAUAAGGAAGACUGAGUUUCUAAAAAAAAAACCUGUUCAGGGUGACACUCGCAUGGUGUAGAUUUUUAUAUCCUUACAACAGCCAGGUACCGUAGGGGCGAAGGAGGAAUCACUGAUGCCGGCUGUCAGUGUAUUGCCUAAGGUAGAGGUGUCCAACUCUGGCGCUUCAGAUGUUCAUGGACUACAAUUCCCAUCAGCACCUGCCAGCAGGGGAUGAUGGGAAUUGUAGUCCACGGACAUCUGAAUCGCCAGAGUUGGACACCCCUGGCCUAAGGCCAUGGAAAGUUAAUGGACAAAGUGAGAUAUGAACUCACGUUUCCUGGCUUGGCCAGUAGGCCGUGUCAGCACCCACCUAUGUCGCAUUGAAUCAAAAGUCAUGUGAAAUGGUGUUAGCUGAGUCCUUUCCAAAAGCACCCCCAGAGCCAUAUCUCUUAUGUCGUUCCUAGUGCCCAGAAUUCUAUACUAAAAUAAGGUACCAAAUGCAGCAUUUCGGCUUCUCCUGAGAACUUUUUAGAGUACACGUUUGUAGAUCUUAUAAGUGUAGAGUUUGACAAUCAUCAUCGACCCCAAUUGUCCCUCUUAAAGCUGCAUUCACCACGCCUCAAUCCAUGCCACACGAUGUCCUUCAACCUUUUUGGGAUGUUAGCAUUCAUAUCCUGGACAACAGGCUGUCUAUCAGAGGUGCCUACACAGUUCAGUUGCCUAUGCAGAACACAGUGGAUUGCAGAAACUGCUGCUAAUGGGUAUAAGCCAGAGGUUUGCAGUCACCAAAUGCUGAAACGGAUAAUAACCGUGGUUUUCUAUGUUGGUAAACAUUUCCAAAAAUGGGAAUCCUCGUUUUUUGUGCAAACCGCCAUCUUUGACCCCUGAGCAUGGAGCUUUGUUUACUCUGUGGCAUUCCCACCAUUUACACCAAAAUUAUUUGGAUGGGGUGAAUGUUUUCAAAAGACUGGGCAUACAGAAGAUGGUGGAGGAGAAAGCAGUUCAUAGCUUUUGUGCCCCCUGUGGCUUUUGACCCUUAUUCUCGAGGCAAAAAAUGUGUUAAUUAGCAUCACUUUAUUUUGUAUUUUAUGAGUACUGAUUAUGGAUUUCCUUGGUGCAAGUUCUGGUGCUUAUUUUGAACACUUCUGAGUGUACCUAUUUACACUAAUGAAUGUUUUCAUGGAAGUACAGGAAAAAUAAAAUGUACCAUUGACUGCCUCCUUAACAUUGAGUUCUCAGUGAGUUACGUUUUUGUUUUGUUUGCUUUUAUACCACGUAUGUAUUCCCCGAAACCAAUUUUGUACUUUUUUAAACUUAAAGCAAAACGUUUCUUGUAUGUAUGUAUGUAAAUAUACAUAGAGAGAGAGAGAUCUGCAUGAUUAUAACAUAGAUAAACGUUUCGUUCUGAAAGGGGACGUCCCGGCCGCUCGGGUAUUGAAUCUAUUCAUAACGAUUGUACUAAAUACAUUUCAUAUGUAAAUAAAUGUUGGGGGAUCUCUUUUGUUGCCCCUUAAGAAUUGUGAGAUUCUGUUAUUUAUUGAUGAAGACUGUUUGUCAGCUUUGGGGGAGCGGGAACAAACACUGAUCCUUCUAAGGGUUCUCGUAAAUAUGCCGUCACAAAAGAGCUAUUAUCUCUUCUGGAUCUUCCUUGCUCUUCAUUCGUUGAUGGCAAAUUAAUGCUUGUUUUUUUUCCCCUUCCCCCUUUCUCUGUUUACUCAUCAAGUGUUUGGAGGUUAUAGAGAACUUUUAAUCUUUAAAAAAAAAACCCCACUAGCAGAAUAUUCUUGGGAUCCCAUUAGCCUUCCGUCAGUGAUGUGUGCUAGCUUAUCACUGCCUCUUUUUUAAAACAAACAAACUGUACCUCUUGAAACCCUCACACUUUGUUGAUGUGCACUUUUGGACUUGUAUAUCAAAUGGGUUGUCACGAUGCAGUGAUGGUGUGGUUUUCUUUUCUCAAUUUUUUUUGUACAGAGUGAAUGAAAUAAUAAAGGCUACCUUUUUAUUA
Molecule: long non-coding RNA, 4798 nt
Organism: Sphaerodactylus townsendi
Lineage: Eukaryota; Metazoa; Chordata; Lepidosauria; Squamata; Sphaerodactylidae
Exons: 2
Source: RefSeq, a predicted model, not a curated record